CCUACGGGAGGCAGCAGUGAGGAAUAUUGGUCAAUGGGCGCGAGCCUGAACCAGCCAAGUAGCGUGAAGGAUGACUGCCCUACGGGUUGUAAACCUCUUUUGCCGGGGAGCAACGGGCGCCACGUGUGGCGCCACUGAGAGUACCCGGAGAAAAAGCAUCGGCUAACUCCGUGCCAGCAGCCGCGGUAAUACGGAGGAUGCGAGCGUUAUCCGGAUUUAUUGGGUUUAAAGGGUGCGUAGGCGGAUCGUUAAGUCAGUGGUCAAAUUGAGGGGCUCAACCCCUUCCCGCCAUUGAAACUGGCGUUCUUGAGUGGAAGAGAAGUAUGCGGAAUGCGUGGUGUAGCGGUGAAAUGCAUAGAUAUCACGCAGAACCCCGAUUGCGAAGGCAGCAUGCCGGCUUCCGACUGACGCUGAAGCACGAAAGCGUGGGGAUCGAACAGGAUUAGAUACCCCGGUAGUC
Molecule: ribosomal RNA, 460 nt
Filed under: uncultured bacterium
Lineage: Bacteria
Description: partial 16S ribosomal RNA
Rfam family: Bacterial small subunit ribosomal RNA
Source: RNAcentral